UACGUAGGGUGCGAGCGUUGUCCGGAAUUACUGGGCGUAAAGAGCUCGUAGGUGGUUUGUCGCGUUGUCCGUGAAAACUCACAACUCAAUUGUGGGCGUGCGGGCGAUACGGGCAGACUGGAGUAUUGCAGGGGAGACUGGAAUUCCUGGUGUAGCGGUGGAAUGCGCAGAUAUCAGGAGGAACACCGGUGGCGAAGGCGGGUCUCUGGGCAGUAACUGACGCUGAGACGCGAAGGCGUGGGGAGCGAACGGG
RNAcentral lists this ribosomal RNA (253 nucleotides) under uncultured bacterium. Its description in RNAcentral is "partial 16S ribosomal RNA". It matches the Rfam family "Bacterial small subunit ribosomal RNA", at positions 524 to 776 of the family's 1533-position model. The record is from RNAcentral.